RNAcentral lists this ribosomal RNA (620 nucleotides) under uncultured bacterium. RNAcentral's name for it is "bacterial SSU rRNA". The stretch from base 1 to 542 matches the Rfam family "Bacterial small subunit ribosomal RNA", at positions 338 to 873 of the family's 1533-position model. The record is from RNAcentral.
CCUACGGGAGGCAGCAGUGGGGAAUUUUGGACAAUGGGCGCAAGCCUGAUCCAGCCAUGCCGCGUGCGGGAAGAAGGCCUUCGGGUUGUAAACCGCUUUUGUCAGGGAAGAAAAGGUUCUGGUUAAUACCUGGGACUCAUGACGGUACCUGAAGAAUAAGCACCGGCUAACUACGUGCCAGCAGCCGCGGUAAUACGUAGGGUGCAAGCGUUAAUCGGAAUUACUGGGCGUAAAGCGUGCGCAGGCGGUUAUGCAAGACAGAGGUGAAAUCCCCGGGCUCAACCUGGGAACUGCCUUUGUGACUGCAUAGCUAGAGUGCGGCAGAGGGGGAUGGAAUUCCGCGUGUAGCAGUGAAAUGCGUAGAUAUGCGGAGGAACACCGAUGGCGAAGGCAAUCCCCUGGGCCUGCACUGACGCUCAUGCACGAAAGCGUGGGGAGCAAACAGGAUUAGAUACCCUGGUAGUCCACGCCCUAAACGAUGUCAACUGGUUGUUGGGAGGGUUUCUUCUCAGUAACGUAGCUAACGCGUGAAGUUGACCGCCUGGGGAGGUAACGGUCGCGAGUUAGUAAGUUAGAAGAAGUUAGAGGNGNGAGAGNGCGAGACGACGACGAGGAGGAGG